AUGGCUCAGGAUGAACGCUGGCGGCGUGCCUAAUACAUGCAAGUCGAACGAACUUCCGUUAAUUGAUUAUGAGGUGCUUGCACUGAAUGAGAUUUUAACACGAAGUGAGUGGCGGACGGGUGAGUAACACGUGGGUAACCUGCCCAGAAGCAGGGGAUAACACCUGGAAACAGAUGCUAAUACCGUAUAACAGAGAAAACCGCCUGGUUUUCUUUUAAAAGAUGGCUCUGCUAUCACUUCUGGAUGGACCCGCGGCGCAUUAGCUAGUUGGUGAGGUAACGGCUCACCAAGGCGAUGAUGCGUAGCCGACCUGAGAGGGUAAUCGGCCACAUUGGGACUGAGACACGGCCCAGACUCCUACGGGAGGCAGCAGUAGGGAAUCUUCCACAAUGGACGCAAGUCUGAUGGAGCAACGCCGCGUGAGUGAAGAAGGGUUUCGGCUCGUAAAGCUCUGUUGUUAAAGAAGAACGUGGGUGAGAGUAACUGUUCACCCAGUGACGGUAUUUAACCAGAAAGCCACGGCUAACUACGUGCCAGCAGCCGCGGUAAUACGUAGGUGGCAAGCGUUAUCCGGAUUUAUUGGGCGUAAAGCGAGCGCAGGCGGUCUUUUAAGUCUAAUGUGAAAGCCUUCGGCUCAACCGAAGAAGUGCAUUGGAAACUGGGAGACUUGAGUGCAGAAGAGGACAGUGGAACUCCAUGUGUAGCGGUGAAAUGCGUAGAUAUAUGGAAGAACACCAGUGGCGAAGGCGGCUGUCUGGUCUGUAACUGACGCUGAGGCUCGAAAGCAUGGGUAGCGAACAGGAUUAGAUACCCUGGUAGUCCAUGCCGUAAACGAUGAUUACUAAGUGUUGGAGGGUUUCCGCCCUUCAGUGCUGCAGCUAACGCAUUAAGUAAUCCGCCUGGGGAGUACGACCGCAAGGUUGAAACUCAAAAGAAUUGACGGGGGCCCGCACAAGCGGUGGAGCAUGUGGUUUAAUUCGAAGCUACGCGAAGAACCUUACCAGGUCUUGACAUCUUCUGCCAACCUAAGAGAUUAGGCGUUCCCUUCGGGGACAGAAUGACAGGUGGUGCAUGGUUGUCGUCAGCUCGUGUCGUGAGAUGUUGGGUUAAGUCCCGCAACGAGCGCAACCCUUAUUACUAGUUGCCAGCAUUCAGUU
This 1157-nucleotide ribosomal RNA is filed under the name Pediococcus acidilactici. RNAcentral describes it as "bacterial SSU rRNA". It matches the Rfam family "Bacterial small subunit ribosomal RNA", at positions 19 to 1130 of the family's 1533-position model. The record is from RNAcentral. Lineage: Bacteria; Bacillati; Bacillota; Bacilli; Lactobacillales; Lactobacillaceae.